RNAcentral lists this ribosomal RNA (207 nucleotides) under uncultured bacterium. RNAcentral describes it as "partial 16S ribosomal RNA". It matches the Rfam family "Bacterial small subunit ribosomal RNA", at positions 568 to 774 of the family's 1533-position model. The record is from RNAcentral.
CUCGUAGGCGGUUAGACAAGUCAGAUGUGAAAGACCCGGGCUUAACCUGGGGGUGUCAUUUGAUACUAUUUAACUAGAGUGAGGCAGAGGAAAGUGGAAUUUCCGGUGUAGCGGUGAAAUGCGUAGAUAUCGGAAGGAACAUCAGUGGCGAAGGCGACUUUCUGGACCUUAACUGACGCUGAGGAGCGAAAGCGUGGGUAGCAAACA